GACGAACGCUGGCGGCGUGCUUAACACAUGCAAGUCGAGCGGUAAGGCCCUUUCGGGGGUACACGAGCGGCGAACGGGUGAGUAACACGUGGGUGACCUGCCCUCAGCUCUGGGAUAAGCCCGGGAAACUGGGUCUAAUACCGGAUAUGACUCCAUGACGCAUGUUGUGGGGUGGAAAGCCUUGUGCGGCUGAGGAUGGGCCCGCGGCCUAUCAGCUUGUUGGUGGGGUGAUGGCCUACCAAGGCGACGACGGGUAGCCGGCCUGAGAGGGCGACCGGCCACACUGGGACUGAGACACGGCCCAGACUCCUACGGGAGGCAGCAGUGGGGAAUAUUGGACAAUGGGCGCAAGCCUGAUCCAGCAAUGCCGCGUGAGUGAAGAAGGCCUUAGGGUUGUAAAGCUCUUUCGGCGGGGACGAUGAUGACGGUACCCGCAGAAGAAGCCCCGGCUAACUCCGUGCCAGCCGCCGCAGU
RNAcentral lists this ribosomal RNA (474 nucleotides) under uncultured bacterium. RNAcentral's name for it is "bacterial SSU rRNA". It matches the Rfam family "Bacterial small subunit ribosomal RNA", at positions 28 to 521 of the family's 1533-position model. The record is from RNAcentral.